UGUUUUGGGUGAAUUGUUCAAU
RNAcentral lists this small nuclear RNA (22 nucleotides) under Arabidopsis thaliana (thale cress). RNAcentral's name for it is "snRNA_06322". Lineage: Eukaryota; Viridiplantae; Streptophyta; Magnoliopsida; Brassicales; Brassicaceae. The record is from RNAcentral.